Small nucleolar RNA from Ochotona curzoniae (black-lipped pika), 77 nucleotides. RefSeq annotates it as small nucleolar RNA SNORD115. The transcript has a single exon. NCBI's taxonomy places the organism in Eukaryota, Metazoa, Chordata, Mammalia, Lagomorpha, Ochotonidae. The record is from RefSeq and is a predicted model, not a curated record.
GGGUCAAUGGUGAGAACUCAUACUGUCUCGAGAGAUGAUGACUUAAAAUCAUGCUAAGUAGAAUUACACUGAGGCCC